Molecule: RNA transcript, 2210 nt
Organism: Amaranthus tricolor (Joseph's coat)
Lineage: Eukaryota; Viridiplantae; Streptophyta; Magnoliopsida; Caryophyllales; Amaranthaceae
Gene name: 7-hydroxymethyl chlorophyll a reductase, chloroplastic
Exons: 21
Source: RefSeq, a predicted model, not a curated record
UCAACUUUUUCUUUUUAAAAAUUUCAAAAAAAAAUAGAGUAUUGUGUAGCCGAGGAGGUAGUAGGUAGUGAAUAAUUUAGAGCCACACAGGCAAGGUGACUUCACCUCAACAACAAUGUCGUCCUCCAUGUUAAUGGCUUCCUCUUCAUCCUUCAUCUCAUCACCUAUCUUUGCUUCUUCUUCUUCUGCAGAUGAUUCGAAAACUUCAAACCCGAAGUCUGUAAAGCUCCGACCCGAUUGGAGGGAAAAAUCUCGGCCAAUUCCUCCUGGUGGUACCUAUCCUGCUAAAGAUCAUUGCAGUCAAUGUGGGCUAUGUGAUACUUAUUACAUCGCUCAUGUGAAGAAUGCAUGUGCUUUCUUGGGCGAUGGCAUGUCUAGAAUUGAAAAAUUGGAACCCCUGGUCCAUGGCAGAGGCAGGAAGGAGGAUUCACUUGAUGAGACAUAUUUAGGAGUCUAUGAAGAUGUAUUGUAUGCGCGUAAAAUCAAACCAGUUGAAGGUGCUCAAUGGACUGGCAUAGUGACUACUAUUGCUGUUGAAAUGCUUAAAGCAGGGUUAGUGGAAGCAGUUAUCUGUGUGCAGAGUGAUCCAGAGGAUAGGUUCAGUGUGAAGCCUGUAUUAGCCAGGACUCCUGAAGAAGUCAUUGCAGCGAAAGGUGUUAAACCAACUUUGUCUCCAAACCUAAAUACACUUGCCAUGGUUGAGGCUGCUGGUGUAAGGAGGCUUCUCUUCUGCGGCGUUGGCUGUCAAGUGCAAGCACUGAGAUCGGUGGAAAAAUAUUUAAAUCUGGAAAAGUUGUAUGUUCUUGGUACAAACUGCGUGGACAAUGGAACACGGGAAGGUCUGGACAAAUUUCUAAAAGCUGCAAGCAGCGAUCCAGACACAGUUCUUCAUUAUGAAUUCAUGCAAGAUUACAAGGUCCAUUUGAAGCACUUAGAUGGGCAUAUUGAAGAAGUCCCAUACUUCAGUCUACCAGCCAAUGACUUGGUCGAUGUCAUUGCACCAUCAUGUUAUAGUUGUUUUGACUACACAAAUGCAUUAGCGGAUCUGGUAGUUGGGUACAUGGGGGUUCCAAAGUAUUCAGGCAUCAGCAUGACACAACAUCCGCAGUAUGUCACUGUUAGGAACGAACGUGGUAGAGAGAUGCUGAGUCUCAUUAAGAACCUUAUAGAAAUCACACCUACUAUAAGCAGUGGUAACAGGCGUCCAUUUGUCAUGGAGACUGUUAAAGCAGAUGAUGCUGCCAAAUUAGGUAGAGGGCCUUCUCAGCCUGCACCUAAGUUUAUCGGAAAUAUAAUCGCAGCUAUCCUAAAUUUUGUUGGACCAAAGGGUUUGGAGUUUGCACGUUAUUCGCUAGAUUAUCAUACCAUUAGGAACUACCUUCAUGUAAAUCGUGCGUGGGGGGAGGAAAGGGCCAAUAUGCAUCUACCGUCAUAUGCAAGAAAACUGGUCGAGAUGUACAAUAAGACCGGCGAAAUUGACAAGAUGCUUUCCAACACAAGAAAAGGUGAAAACAAUUGUGACAAAAUCCUUUCGUUGUUUGGGGAUCUCAUCUGCGCGAACGAUUUGAUUUAUGUGGUGAAAAUUGCUUGUCGAUUUCGGGCAGAGGAACAUAAAGUUCAAAAAGAGCUUAUUCAGUUCACACUAGCUAGGGGUUGAUUCUUUUCGUGAUCUGAAUGCUUUUUAUUGAUCCUGAACAAUUGGAGACUCGAGUGCACUCCUCAAAAGCUAGCAAGAUGAUGGUGGCUGGUGCACCUGAUGAAUGACGAUGAUGAACGAGGAGAUGAUGGUGAUGAUGAAAAUGGUGCAACUUCAUGCGUCAUUCUUAAUCAUCAAGCAUACUUCAUUGUUAUCAUCUUGAAGCAUAUUGUGGAGAUGAUGGUGAUGACGAAAAUGAUGUGGAGAUGAUGUUGAUGAUGAAUGAUGAUGAUGAAGUAAUAAAUGUAAGCCAUCAACCAUGAUGAACGAUGAUGACGGUGAAUGAAAAUGUAAGCCAUCAACCAUACUUUUUUCUCGAUGAAUGUUUUGAACAUUGGAUGAACAUUGUUAUACAUUUUUCUCAAAAAGGAAAAAAAAUAAAAGGGAGUAGUUUGCUGUAAGUGACGGUAAAUCUUUUAUACAUUUUUGACCACUAUUAGGAAUUGACUUUAUUUUUAAUUACCAAGAUCUUCUAUAUUUUACUGUUACUAACAACGAAUAUAUAUUUGAAUUU